GACGAACGCUGGCGGCGUGCUUAACACAUGCAAGUCGAACGAUGAAGUUCCUUCGGGAAUGGAUUAGUGGCGAACGGGUGAGGAACACGUGAGAAACCUGCCUUUCAUUUUGGGAUAACUCCGGGAAACCGGGGCUAAAACCGAAUACUCCGUCUCGGCGGCAUCGCUGAGCCGGGAAAAAAUUUUGAUGAAAGAUGGUCUCGCGGCCUAUCAGCUAGUUGGUGAGGUAAUGGCUCACCAAGGCAACGACGGGUAGCCGGCCUGAGAGGGCGGCCGGCCACACUGGGACUGAGACACGGCCCAGACUCCUACGGGAGGCAGCAGUGGGGAAUAUUGGGCAAUGGGCGCAAGCCUGACCCAGCGACGCCGCGUGAGGGAUGAAGGCCUUCGGGUUGUAAACCUCUUUCAGUAGGGAAGAAGCGAAAGUGACGGUACCUAAAGAAGAAGCACCGGCUAACUAUGUGCCAGCAGCCGCAGUAA
This 480-nucleotide ribosomal RNA is filed under the name uncultured bacterium. RNAcentral's name for it is "partial 16S ribosomal RNA". It matches the Rfam family "Bacterial small subunit ribosomal RNA", at positions 28 to 523 of the family's 1533-position model. The record is from RNAcentral.